UUUUGAGUCCAUGGUGAACUCACGAAACCAUUCCCUUUUGUGUGCUGGGUUUCUGCUCUUCUGGGGACAGAAGUCCCUGUGUUCUGCUGAGGAGAGGGGAGAGCACCAGACAGAGCAGCCCUGGAAUCUAGAAGGAAACCUUUGUAUAAGAAGCUCCCAUUGACCUUGGAGGCCACUUACCAAGGAGUAUUUAAAGAGAUGAAAAGUCAGGACCUGCUGAGCAUGAGCAAGCUGGAACAGGAUUUCACACUGGCAGCCAUGGCAGGGGCUCACUGCUCCUGUGGCCUGGGGCUCCAGAAGGGUAUUUGCAGCAGUGGCCACCCAUGGGAGUCCUGGCCAACUGUGCUUGAGUUCCAAAGCUCUCUCAGAGAAGGAAGAUUCCUUGAUGUGUCUCUGACCUCAGGCUACAUGGAUUAGGAUUAGCCAGGAGGCCAAAC
RNAcentral lists this long non-coding RNA (437 nucleotides) under Cricetulus griseus (Chinese hamster). Its description in RNAcentral is "lncRNA (ENSCGRG00015042297.1)". Lineage: Eukaryota; Metazoa; Chordata; Mammalia; Rodentia; Cricetidae. The record is from RNAcentral.